This 492-nucleotide ribosomal RNA is filed under the name uncultured bacterium. RNAcentral's name for it is "partial 16S ribosomal RNA". It matches the Rfam family "Bacterial small subunit ribosomal RNA", at positions 28 to 507 of the family's 1533-position model. The record is from RNAcentral.
GAUGAACGCUAGCUACAGGCUUAACACAUGCAAGUCGAGGGGAAACGGCAUCGAAAGCUUGCUUUUGAUGGGCGUCGACCGGCGCACGGGUGAGUAACGCGUAUCCAACCUGCCCAUCACUUGGGAAUAACCUUGCGAAAGUAAGACUAAUGCCCAAUGACAUCCCACGAAGGCAUCCGAAUGGGAUUAAAGAUUUAUCGGUGAUGGAUGGGGAUGCGUCUGAUUAGCUUGUUGGCGGGGUGACGGCCCACCAAGGCAACGAUCAGUAGGGGUUCUGAGAGGAAGGUCCCCCACAUUGGAACUGAGACACGGUCCAAACUCCUACGGGAGGCAGCAGUGAGGAAUAGUGGUCAAUGGGCGAGAGCCUGAACCAGCCAAGUAGCGUGCAGGAGGACGGCCCUAUGGGUUGUAAACUGCUUUUAGAAGGGAAUAAAGUGGGUCACGUGUGACUUUUUGCAUGUACCUUAUGAAUAAGGACCGGCUAAUUCCGUG